Molecule: ribosomal RNA, 185 nt
Filed under: uncultured Bacteroidota bacterium
Lineage: Bacteria; Pseudomonadati; Bacteroidota
Description: uncultured Bacteroidetes bacterium partial 16S ribosomal RNA
Rfam family: Bacterial small subunit ribosomal RNA
Source: RNAcentral
GCAACCUACCUUCCCCUGGGGGAUAGCCCUCCGAAAGGAGGAUUAAUACCGCAUAAGACCAUUUGAGGGCAUCCGAAGAUGGUGAAAGCUGAGGCGGUGGAAGAUGGGCAUGCGUGCCAUUAGCUUGUUGGUGUGGUAACGGCGCACCAAGGCAACGAUGGCUAGGGGUUCUGAGAGGAUGGUCC